This 582-nucleotide ribosomal RNA is filed under the name Escherichia coli. RNAcentral's name for it is "partial 23S ribosomal RNA". It matches the Rfam family "Bacterial large subunit ribosomal RNA", at positions 2230 to 2811 of the family's 2925-position model. Lineage: Bacteria; Pseudomonadati; Pseudomonadota; Gammaproteobacteria; Enterobacterales; Enterobacteriaceae. The record is from RNAcentral.
GACCCGUGAUCCGGGUUGCGGACAGUGUCUGGUGGGUAGUUUGACUGGGGCGGUCUCCUCCUAAAGAGUAACGGAGGAGCACGAAGGUUGGCUAAUCCUGGUCGGACAUCAGGAGGUUAGUGCAAUGGCAUAAGCCAGCUUGACUGCGAGCGUGACGGCGCGAGCAGGUGCGAAAGCAGGUCAUAGUGAUCCGGUGGUUCUGAAUGGAAGGGCCAUCGCUCAACGGAUAAAAGGUACUCCGGGGAUAACAGGCUGAUACCGCCCAAGAGUUCAUAUCGACGGCGGUGUUUGGCACCUCGAUGUCGGCUCAUCACAUCCUGGGGCUGAAGUAGGUCCCAAGGGUAUGGCUGUUCGCCAUUUAAAGUGGUACGCGAGCUGGGUUUAGAACGUCGUGAGACAGUUCGGUCCCUAUCUGCCGUGGGCGCUGGAGAACUGAGGGGGGCUGCUCCUAGUACGAGAGGACCGGAGUGGACGCAUCACUGGUGUUCGGGUUGUCAUGCCAAUGGCACUGCCCGGUAGCUAAAUGCGGAAGAGAUAAGUGCUGAAAGCAUCUAAGCACGAAACUUGCCCCGAGAUGAGUUC